RNAcentral lists this long non-coding RNA (1435 nucleotides) under Callithrix jacchus (white-tufted-ear marmoset). RNAcentral describes it as "lncRNA (ENSCJAG00000085866.1)". Lineage: Eukaryota; Metazoa; Chordata; Mammalia; Primates; Cebidae. The record is from RNAcentral.
ACUUUCCAGCUGCUAAUCUGUAUGCCCCAUAAGGGCAAUGAGCUUACUGUGCUUGACACACAAUGGGCAUAGAAUAAAUAAUUGGUGAAACCACAGUUAAUUUUUCAGAAAUCCUUUACUUCCAGCUAUUAACACAUUUAACAUUUAUUUACGACAAUAGAUCUGAAUAAUUAUUUUCACUAAUUAGGUUGCAUUAAUUGCAAGUGUGAUGAUUCUUUUUUAAUUUUCAAGAUUAAUUUUUUUUUUUUUUAGGGAUGGGACUUUGCUGUGUUGACCAGGCUGGUCUUAAACUUCUGGUCUCAAGUGGUCCUCCUGCCUCAGCCUCUCAAAGUGCUGGGAUUACAGGUAUGAGCCACUGAACCCCACCUGAUUUUUUUUUAACUUUUGACCAAUAAGGCAAAUUAUUUGAAGGUUUAAAAAUUUUGUAUUGCCAGGCGGGGUGGCUGACACCUGUAAUCCCAGCACUUUGGGAGGCCAAGGCGGGUGGAUCACGAGGUCAAGAGAUCGAGACCAAGAGGAAGGAUAUCCUCUGCUGAAAGUCAAAUGCCACUCCAAAUCUACAACUCCACUUAGCCUAGUCUAUACUGAGGAUAUAAUAGGGCAUGGAAUCAAACCACCUCUCCAACCCACAGAACAAAUUGCUAUGACACUCUGUGUUGGCGUUUCCCAGGCACUUCUCACUAGUGGUAAUUAGCAGCACAUAAAUGCUAAUGACUAAUUACCUUGGCCUGUGUAGACAUCCGGGGAACCAAAGUAACCUAUUAUCCAAAAGCCUGACUUCACAGAUACAGAGACAGUAAAACCCCAGGUUUUGUCUUUCAGUAACCCCUGGGUUUGCAGGGAGGAGGGGACUGGGAAGGUGGGAAGAUGGCAGGGAAGGUCCGUCAAUAAAUUAAUGGUAAUUAGAUUUUAGGAGGUAUAUCUGGGCAAUUGUCAGCCUCUGUAUGCUAACAUCUCUGAAAAUUUAAUUCAGGGAGUCAUGCAGUCUCUGUAUACAUUUACUUGAACGUCUGCUUUUCCUCUAGACACUCUGUUGUCAGAACAUGUGAUACCUAAAACUUAUGUAGGAACAUCUGGUAUCCUUAAUAAAACAUAUCAGAUAAAUGGGUGGCUUCUGGGCAGCAUAUGUGCAUAUAGGUGAAAAUAAAUAAUUGGCUUUUUUGGAAAAAAAAUAUCAAGGUCAAAGAGAUGAUUCUUCAUAACAAGGUGUUAAUGUGUUGCAGCCCCCUCCUACUGAGUCCUCGAGGGAGAAGCAGUACAGACUCCUGAAUUUCCGUAAUGUAAGGGGUUAGGGACAGCGGUGGAGUUCAGUGGACGAGAGAACUUGCAGCUGCGUUGGCUAAGCAAGCACAGGUUUGACUUGCAGGCGUGUUUGGUUUGGGUGUGUGGCUCUGGGGAAGGGGCGAUUAUAGGAAACUAAAGUCCCACCAAAGGA